Non-coding RNA from Mesocricetus auratus (golden hamster), 46 nucleotides. NCBI's taxonomy places the organism in Eukaryota, Metazoa, Chordata, Mammalia, Rodentia, Cricetidae. The record is from Rfam.
ACAAAGGCUCUUUUCAGAGCCACCCACUUGUUUCUAUAAGAGUGCU